RNAcentral lists this long non-coding RNA (2289 nucleotides) under Macaca fascicularis (crab-eating macaque). RNAcentral's name for it is "lncRNA (ENSMFAG00000049167.1)". Lineage: Eukaryota; Metazoa; Chordata; Mammalia; Primates; Cercopithecidae. The record is from RNAcentral.
CUCAGCUUACUGCAGCCUCCACCUCCCAGGUUCAAGUGAUUCUCCUGCCUCAGCAUCCCAAGUAGCUGGAAUUACUGGCACCUGCCACCACACCCGGCUAAUUUUUGUAUUUUUAGUAGUGACGGGGUUUUGCCAUGUUGGCCAGGCUGGUCUCAAACUCCCGACCUCUAGUGAUCAGCCUACCUCGGCCUUCCAAAGUGCUGGGAUUACAGGUGUAAGCCACCACGCCUGCCCUAGAAAACAGUUUCUUACACAAAAGGUUUUAGCACAAAAUGCCUUUGUAGUUCUAUACACAAGUCCAUUUAAAAACUGACAGCCUACCAAGUUAAGUUUAAACAGAAUUCUGGAAAAUACACACUUGGAAAGCACUACAGGGGGUGUCCUUUUGGAUGAGCUAUGAUUGUACAGAUUCAGGUGUGUGCUGACAAGAAGGUAAGUUAAGAAGCAACACUCAGGCACAUGUUUCAACAUGUUGCUGAGAGAAGUGUGUCACCCCUUUUACCUAACGAUCCAAAGAGAUGUGUAAAUAACCACUUCACUCAUCUCAGUACUUCCCAAGCCACAGGGAAGGAGUGUGGGAGCAAAGCUCCUUCAUCAAAGCACCAGAAAGAUGUCAGCAGAAAAACAAACAGGUCAGUGAAAUCAGAGGCAGAGCAGCUAAUGGGUUUUUUUUAAUGUUACAAAUGCAGGGCAGACUUUGAAUUCAAAGGAGAAUUCUGCAGCAGGUCAAAGGCAUCUUUGCUGUGGAGGAACCAAACAGUCUUUAAUUAGUGUGCAACUGGGAAGGGAGUUAGCGGGUAGCAAAGAUGCAAAUGAUGGUUGGAAUUCCAUGGGGCAGCUUCCACCGCUGAUACACAGCUGCCCUUUGCUGGCCUGUGCCAAGUACUGGACUGGGCCUCAGAGACCAUGUGCAGCAUGGGCUGCCACCCACACAGAGGAACGCUUCUCAGCUGGGACUCGUCAGUUCCGCCACCCUUUAAUCAGUCUCGUCUUUGGUCUCCAGCCUUAUUCAUCCUCGUGAUAGCAGUUUGCUCUGCCCUGGUGUGAUGGCUUGACUUAACUCUCUGUCUUUAUGAAUAUCCCUAUUCAGGACAAUCCUUAAAGGCUGCAGACACAAAAAGGAAAUUAUUAGUAGGCAGAUUAUGACUUGGAUUGUGCCUGUUUUAGUGCCUUUCCCUGUUUUCAUGUCAGCAGCUUCGCUGGAAGCAGCUGGCAUGCCCCCGAAGUGGCUGUUUGUGCCUGUCACUAUUGCCUAAUUCUAACGAAAUCCCUAAAAAUCAUUUUGUGCUGUCAUAAUCGUUUGCAUGAGCCAUAACUAGCUCUUUCAUUAUUAAAGCCCCAUCCAAUGGUUGGGGGAAUUUUGAUAAAGACUUAAUGAUAUGAUGAGCUAUUUCACCCUCCAUUCACAUCCCAGUGAUUCCAGGGCUGACCAAUGCAUUGUCUUGGAAAAUAAAACACAACUUAUGCUGGGUCAAAGGUGUAAUUCUGAAAUCAGUGGGAACACAUCCAAUUCUUCCUUCAGAAAUCCCUUAUAACUCUUAAUUCACUCCCCAGAAGCCCCCUGAAAUGUGCCUUUAUUUGCUGGCAAUGAAAUGUAAUGUGUUUGGCUUCCAAGGCCUUGAGGAGCUGCCAUCCACUGAGAAUAAUCUAAUAAAAUGACUUCAGGGAGGACGAAACCCCUCUAGGGUCUUUAUUUCGGAUCUCCAGAGUCAGUGGUUGUGCCAGCGCAACCCAGGGCAGCUCUCUCAUUUCCAAGGGUAAGAAUGAGCCUAGUGAGGUGUGCCCAGUUUCCUGGGGACCAGAGGAAAGAUUCAAUCCUGAUGGGUUCCAGGUUAGAAAAGACGAUCAUAGGAGGGGUCCUGGCCAUCGUAGAAAUGGUUGUGUUGUGCUAUGAGGAAUGCAUUUUGAGCCUUCACAAAAACAAAAACCAGGAGGUUCUAUCGCUGAAUGGUUUAAGUAUAUGUAUAUAUGUCCACCAAAAUCACUGCAAUUAUGGCUGGCCACAGUGACCAGUAGUCUCCUUGUCUCUCACUGUGGUCAAAAGAUAAUGGUGUGUUUAUUCAGCUUGCAAAUGAUGAGGUUCUUGUUUUUCAUUUUCCUCUCAUCUCUGCGUAACCUUUUAAUCACUUCUUUGAAGAUUAACACUGCUUUGGAAAAGGCUAUCAGAGGCGAGGUGGAGUGGUGUUGAAAUCAGGUCUGUCACUAUAUAACAUCUUAAUUGGAGAAAAGCUGAUGCUAAACCACCUGAAGCUACAAAUAUUGUCCUCUGAGGCCACAUCACUGAGUGUG